This 319-nucleotide ribosomal RNA is filed under the name uncultured eukaryote. RNAcentral's name for it is "partial 18S ribosomal RNA". It matches the Rfam family "Eukaryotic small subunit ribosomal RNA", at positions 1470 to 1796 of the family's 1831-position model. The record is from RNAcentral.
CCCUUAGAUGUUCUGGGCAGCACGCGCGCUACAAUGGUCUUCGCAAACGGAUGCAUUCUCGAAGGAGAAUGCCAAUCUUGGAAUCUAUGCCUUGGUCGGGACAGUUGCUUGCAAUUUUUCGACUCGGACUAGGAAUUCCUUGUAAUCGUGAUUCAUCACAUCACGAUGAAUACGUCCCUGCCCUUUGUACACACCGCCCGUCGCUCCUACCGAUCGAAGAGUUAGGUGAAUUGUUUUGAUCGAUAAGAUUUGACUAUGGUCAACUCUCGUUGUGAAAUUCUGUGAAUCUGACUGUUUAGAGGAAGGAAAAGUCGUAACA